RNAcentral lists this ribosomal RNA (398 nucleotides) under uncultured bacterium. Its description in RNAcentral is "partial 16S ribosomal RNA". It matches the Rfam family "Bacterial small subunit ribosomal RNA", at positions 523 to 918 of the family's 1533-position model. The record is from RNAcentral.
AUACGUAGGGUGCGAGCGUUGUCCGGAAUUACUGGGCGUAAAGAGCUCGUAGGUGGUUUGUCGCGUCGUCUGUGAAAUUCCGGGGCUUAACUCCGGGCGUGCAGGCGAUACGGGCAUAACUUGAGUACUGUAGGGGAGACUGGAAUUCCUGGUGUAGCGGUGAAAUGCGCAGAUAUCAGGAGGAACACCGGUGGCGAAGGCGGGUCUCUGGGCAGUAACUGACGCUGAGGAGCGAAAGCAGGGGUAGCGAACAGGAUGAGAUACCCUGGUAGACCAUGCUGUAAAGGGUGGGCGAUAGGUGUAGGGGUCUUCCACGACUUCUGUGCCGUAGCUAACGCAUUAAGCGCCCCGCCUGGGGAGUACGGCCGCAAGGCUAAAACUCAAAUGAAUUGACGGGG